This 420-nucleotide ribosomal RNA is filed under the name bacterium. Its description in RNAcentral is "partial 16S ribosomal RNA". It matches the Rfam family "Bacterial small subunit ribosomal RNA", at positions 355 to 776 of the family's 1533-position model. The record is from RNAcentral. RNAcentral also lists the same sequence under 2 other names.
UGGGGGAUAUUGCACAAUGGGCGAAAGCCUGAUGCAGCGACGCCGCGUGGGGGAUGAAGGCUUUCGGGUUGUAAACCUCUUUCGCUAUCGAACAAGGCCCGCUUAGGGUGGGUUGAGGGUAGGUGGAGAAGAAGCGCCGGCUAACUACGUGCCAGCAGCCGCGGUAAUACGUAGGGCGCGAGCGUUGUCCGGAAUUAUUGGGCGUAAAGGGCUUGUAGGCGGCUUGUUGCGCCUGCUGUGAAAACGCGGGGCUUAACUUCGCGCGUGCAGUGGGUACGGGCAGGCUUGAGUGUGGUAGGGGUGACUGGAAUUCCAGGUGUAGCGGUGGAAUGCGCAGAUAUCUGGGGGAACACCGAUGGCGAAGGCAGGUCACUGGGCCAUUACUGACGCUGAGGAGCGAAAGCAUGGGUAGCGAACAGG